CGAACGAGCGAGAGAGAGCUUGCUUUCUCGAGCGAGUGGCGAACGGGUGAGUAACGCGUGAGGAACCUGCCUCAAAGAGGGGGACAACAGUUGGAAACGACUGCUAAUACCGCAUAAGCCCACAGCUCGGCAUCGAGCAGAGGGAAAAGGAGCAAUCCGCUUUGAGAUGGCCUCGCGUCCGAUUAGCUAGUUGGUGAGGUAAUGGCCCACCAAGGCGACGAUCGGUAGCCGGACUGAGAGGUUGAACGGCCACAUUGGGACUGAGACACGGCCCAGACUCCUACGGGAGGCAGCAGUGGGGAAUAUUGCACAAUGGGGGAAACCCUGAUGCAGCGACGCCGCGUGGAGGAAGAAGGUCUUCGGAUUGUAAACUCCUGUUGUUGAGGAAGAUAAUGACGGUACUCAACAAGGAAGUGACGGCUAACUACGUGCCAGCAGCCGCGGUAAAACGUAGGUCACAAGCGUUGUCCGGAAUUACUGGGUGUAAAGGGAGCGCAGGCGGGAAGGCAAGUUGGAAGUGAAAUCCAUGGGCUCAACCCAUGAACUGCUUUCAAAACUGUUUUUCUUGAGUAGUGCAGAGGUAGGCGGAAUUCCCGGUGUAGCGGUGGAAUGCGUAGAUAUCGGGAGGAACACCAGUGGCGAAGGCGGCCUACUGGGCACCAACU
This 665-nucleotide ribosomal RNA is filed under the name uncultured Lachnospiraceae bacterium. Its description in RNAcentral is "bacterial SSU rRNA". It matches the Rfam family "Bacterial small subunit ribosomal RNA", at positions 63 to 741 of the family's 1533-position model. The record is from RNAcentral. Lineage: Bacteria; Bacillati; Bacillota; Clostridia; Lachnospirales; Lachnospiraceae.